This 235-nucleotide ribosomal RNA is filed under the name uncultured bacterium. Its description in RNAcentral is "partial 16S ribosomal RNA". It matches the Rfam family "Bacterial small subunit ribosomal RNA", at positions 524 to 757 of the family's 1533-position model. The record is from RNAcentral.
UACGAAGGGGGCUAGCGUUGCUCGGAAUCACUGGGCGUAAAGCGCACGUAGGCGGACUCUUAAGUCGGUGGUGAAAUCCUGGAGCUCAACUCCAGAACUGCCUUCGAUACUGAGAGUCUUGAGUCCGGGAGAGGUGAGUGGAACUGCGAGUGUAGAGGUGAAAUUCGUAGAUAUUCGCAAGAACACCAGUGGCGAAGGCGGCUCACUGGCCCGGUACUGACGCUGAGGUGACGAA